GAUGAACGCUGGCGGCGUGCCUAAUACAUGCAAGUCGAGCGAACAGACGAGGAGCUUGCUCCUCUGACGUUAGCGGCGGACGGGUGAGUAACACGUGGAUAACCUACCUAUCAGACUGGGAUAACUUCGGGAAACCGGAGCUAAUACCGGAUAAUAUAUUGAACCGCAUGGUUCAAUAGUGAAAGACGGUUUUGCUGUCACUUAUAGAUGGAUCCGCGCCGCAUUAGCUAGUUGGUAAGGUAACGGCUUACCAAGGCAACGAUGCGUAGCCGACCUGAGAGGGUGAUCGGCCACCCGGGAACUGAGACACGGUCCAGACUCCUACGGGAGGCAGCAGUAGGGAAUCUUCCGCAAUGGGCGAAAGCCUUACGGAGCAACGCCGCGUGAGUGAUGAAGGUCUUCGGAUCGUAAAACUCUGUUAUUAGUGAUGAACAAAUGUGUAAGUAACUAUGCACGUCUUGACGGUACCUAAUCAGAAAGCCCCGGCUAACUACGUG
Molecule: ribosomal RNA, 497 nt
Filed under: uncultured bacterium
Lineage: Bacteria
Description: partial 16S ribosomal RNA
Rfam family: Bacterial small subunit ribosomal RNA
Source: RNAcentral